GCGGACGUGGUGGAAUGGUAGACACCGGAGACUUAAAAUCUCCUGGCCGUAUGGCCGUGCGGGUUCGAGUCCCGCCGUCCGCA
This is a non-coding RNA of Leisingera methylohalidivorans DSM 14336, 83 nucleotides long. NCBI's taxonomy places the organism in Bacteria, Pseudomonadati, Pseudomonadota, Alphaproteobacteria, Rhodobacterales, Roseobacteraceae. The record is from Rfam.